AACGCACGAGACCUGCGGACCUGCGGAAGGAUCAUUAACGAGUUAGGGUCUUCCAGGCCCGACCUCCCAACCCCAUGUUUAUUGAACCUCUGUUGCUUCGGCGGGCCCGUCUCACGGCCGCCGGAGGAGUCGCCGCGAGGCGCCCUCUGGCCAGCGUCCGCCGAUAGCCAAACCUCAAAACUCUGAAUGAAUCGUGUCAUGAUGUCUGAGUCUAUGAUUAAAUUAAAGCAAAACUUUUAG
Molecule: unclassified non-coding RNA, 240 nt
Filed under: soil metagenome
Description: partial contains 5.8S ribosomal RNA, internal transcribed spacer 2, and large subunit ribosomal RNA
Source: RNAcentral